AGUGAACGCUGGCGGUAGGCCUAACACAUGCAAGUCGAACGGCAGCACAGUAAGAGCUUGCUCUUACGGGUGGCGAGUGGCGGACGGGUGAGGAAUACAUCGGAAUCUACUUUUUCGUGGGGGAUAACGUAGGGAAACUUACGCUAAUACCGCAUACGACCUACGGGUGAAAGCAGGGGAUCUUCGGCCCUUGCGCGAUUGAAUGAGCCGAUGUCGGAUUAGCUAGUUGGCGGGGUAAAGGCCCACCAAGGCGACGAUCCGUAGCUGGUCUGAGAGGAUGGUCAGCCACACUGGAACUGAGACACGGUCCAGACUCCUACGGGAGGCAGCAGUGGGGAAUAUUGGACAAUGGGCGCAAGCCUGAUCCAGCCAUACCGCGUGGGUGAAGAAGGCCUUCGGGUUGUAAAGCCCUUUUGUUGGGAAAGAAAAGCAGCAGGUUAAUACCCCGCUGUUCUGACGGUACCCAAAGAAUAAGCACCGGCUAACUUCGUG
Molecule: ribosomal RNA, 492 nt
Filed under: uncultured bacterium
Lineage: Bacteria
Description: partial 16S ribosomal RNA
Rfam family: Bacterial small subunit ribosomal RNA
Source: RNAcentral